Long non-coding RNA from Cyprinus carpio carpio, 1130 nucleotides. The record is from Ensembl. NCBI's taxonomy places the organism in Eukaryota, Metazoa, Chordata, Actinopteri, Cypriniformes, Cyprinidae.
AGGUUCCGUCCCAUGAAACUUCCGGAAUUUAGGUCGAAACUUUGAGUCGCGAGCACAUUGGCGUUUCCACGGUGACCUGAAUGAAAAUAUGAGCGGAACGCUGUACGAAGGUCAACAGCAGUUUCAGGGCUGGGUCACCCCAUCAGUGAAGACUAUUAGAUGCCUGAAUGAGCUGAGGGGUUCUGUUGCCUUCAGAGUCAUUAUUGGACAAUAGAAGAGUCGUACACCGUUGGGUGUGAAUAAUAAAACUAAGCUACGAGUGGAAAAAGGAGGGUGUAUGUUAACCAGAGAAAAGAAAAUACAGGCCCAGUGAUCCCAGUGUUUCUAUAUGGCUUUGUAAUGUUUGUCAUCAUAAUUAGUAUGUGCGUUAUGCAAAUACAUGUUUUAUAAAAUGAUCCUUGUGAAGGAAUGCUUCUAUUAAUCUGCUUGCCCUUUACAUUUGGUUUCAUAAUUAUUAAAUAUAAAAACAAAAAUUAAAUGUGAUCAAGAUCGAAUGCAUAUUAGCUCAUUUAAAAACAAAAUGCAAGUGCAGAAUGAAUGCAAGAUCCUUUUAAUAAGCUUUUGAGAGAUUUAUAUAUUUUGUUUUGGAUGUCAAGAUUUCAAGAAUACACACAUAAGCAUUUUUUUAUGAAAGCGUUGAGUAACACAACAGCAUGUGAAACCCUGAACAUACCUUAGCUGUGAUAAGCAUUUCAGUCCAGACAAAUCUGGUUUUUCAUACAAAAAUGAUGCCAUUGUGAUAAGUCAUUGAUGAUUGAUUUAAUAAAAAAUAUGCUGUUGUUAUUUAAGGUAUUGUAGACAUUUAUGUAUAUACUACAACUAAUUUAAAUUCUUUUUCUCAAAAUCUCUCACAAAAUCAAAACAGACACUUUGGAGAAGGUGAUCAGCCCUUCAAGUACCAGAAGAAUAUUUUUUUUUUUUUGAUGGACACAGAAACUUUAAGAGUUAGUUCACUCAGAAAUGAAAAUUCUAUCAUUUACUCACCCUCAUGUUAUUCCAAACCGAUAAUACUUUGGUUUAUCUUUGAAACACAAAUUAAGAUAUUUUCAAUGACACCUGAGAUAUUUCUGUCCAUCCAUUGAGAGUUCAGGUAACCACAAUUUUGAAUAUCCUUUAAGGUCGUAAAGGCG